This 253-nucleotide ribosomal RNA is filed under the name uncultured bacterium. Its description in RNAcentral is "partial 16S ribosomal RNA". It matches the Rfam family "Bacterial small subunit ribosomal RNA", at positions 524 to 776 of the family's 1533-position model. The record is from RNAcentral.
GACGAAGGGGGCUAGCGUUGCUCGGAAUCACUGGGCGUAAAGCGCACGUAGGCGGCUUCUUAAGUCAGGGGUGAAAUCCUGGAGCUCAACUCCAGAACUGCCUUUGAUACUGAGGAGCUCGAGUCCGGGAGAGGUGAGUGGAACUCCGAGUGUAGAGGUGAAAUUCGUAGAUAUUCGGAAGAACACCAGUGGCGAAGGCGGCUCACUGGCCCGGUACUGACGCUGAGGUGCGAAAGCGUGGGGAGCAAACAGG